RNAcentral lists this ribosomal RNA (613 nucleotides) under uncultured bacterium. Its description in RNAcentral is "bacterial SSU rRNA". It matches the Rfam family "Bacterial small subunit ribosomal RNA", at positions 125 to 731 of the family's 1533-position model. The record is from RNAcentral.
UCUGCCUAGUAGUGGGGGAUAACUGCCGGAAAGGUAAGCUAAUACCGCAUACGUCCUACGGGAGAAAGCAGGGGACUCUCCGGAGCCUUGCGCUAUUAGAUGAGCCUAGGUCGGAUUAGUUAGUUGGUGAGGUAAUGGCUCACCAAGACCGCGAUCCGUAACUGGUCUGAGAGGAUGAUCAGUCACACUGGAACUGAGACACGGUCCAGACUCCUACGGGAGGCAGCAGUGGGGAAUAUUGGACAAUGGGGGCAACCCUGAUCCAGCCAUGCCGCGUGUGUGAAGAAGGUCUUAGGAUUGUAAAGCACUUUAAGUUGGGAGGAAGAGCAGUUAACUAAUAUUUGACUGUUUUGACGUUACCGACAGAAUAAGCACCGGCUAACUUCGUGCCAGCAGCCGCGGUAAUACGAAGGGUGCGAGCGUUAAUCGGAAUUACUGGGCGUAAAGCGCGCGUAGGUGGUUCGUUAAGUUAGGAGUGAAAGCCCCGGGCUCAACCUGGGAAUUGCUUCUAAAACUGGCGAGCUAGAGUAUGGUAGAGGGUGGUGGAAUUUCCUGUGUAGCGGUGAAAUGCGUAGAUAUAGGAAGGAACAUCAGUGGCGAAGGCGACCACCUG